ACUUUAUCAUGAACAUUUUGUUUUUGAAUUGCAACAUGUGAUUAUUAUUCCUAUGAACAAAAUAAUUGGUCGCUGCUUGAGAAUUUUGGUGCCAUGAUCGUGUGAUUUGGUUCACUUCAUUUGAAUUUUGACAACCGUGUUGCAUCAAAUUUGUGACGAGUCAGUUGUUGAUUUGCUUGUUGAUCAGGUCAACCAUUCCAUUGAUACAUACUAUAUGGUUAAAUGAGAAAUUUAUUGACAUGUUUAUUUAUUUAUUGCAAGAAAACCAUGUCGGGUGCAUAGCAGCAUCACUUCUAAUGUUGUUUGUCUUAGUCGGUCAUAUGAUUUAACUACUCAUUUGUAUUAUUGUCAAGUGGUGUUGUAAUUGUAUCGAGUAAAAAAUAUUAACUGAAUAUACAAUAUUUAAUAUGAAUGAUUAUAAGUAAACUAGUUAAGAUAUUGUGCUCUUGCACAUGGGACAUUAAUGUAGAAUUGUGUAUCGUGUUAUUUGGGGAAAAUACCUUUCAUAGAUAUUGUUCUUGGUUGGCAUAUUACUGGACCUUACCAACGAUAUGUCGUGAUCAAGGGAAGUGGUAACUCUCUCUGGUGGUUUUCCGCGGUUGUCCUCGGCUACGUGGUUUAUCCCUUGCUCCGGAGGAGUUAUGGGUAGGUCAAUACUUCCGCUAAUCUUCUUGUGUUGCAAGGUUCGUGAAGAGCAAAAGGAAGAUGGCGGAUUGUGCUCACAUGGGACGAGUACUUAAUGUAUGAUUGUAUGAUUCAAAUUGGAAUAAAAUUAGGUGUAAGUAUUUUUAGCCCAAUCCAAGAUGUAGCAAACAAUUGUGAUGGUGCACAACCCCAAAUAUUCGUGAAAUAUCACGAAGCCGUGUUUAAAGUUAAAAAAAAAAAAAAAAUGUCAAUUUAGUUUUAAAUUUGGCGGUAAUCACCCAUACCAUGAUGCUAUAAGCGAUCAAUCAUACUUAAUUGGGAUGACUUCAUGAUAA
Long non-coding RNA from Medicago truncatula (barrel medic), 980 nucleotides. RefSeq lists it as uncharacterized. The transcript is spliced from 2 exons. The record is from RefSeq and is a predicted model, not a curated record. Lineage: Eukaryota; Viridiplantae; Streptophyta; Magnoliopsida; Fabales; Fabaceae.